Molecule: transfer RNA, 68 nt
Filed under: Staphylinidae sp. BMNH 1274245
Lineage: Eukaryota; Metazoa; Arthropoda; Insecta; Coleoptera; Staphylinidae
Description: tRNA-Asp
Source: RNAcentral
AAAAAUUUAGUUAAUUUAUAACAUUAGAUUGUCAAACUAAAAUAAUCAAAUUAUAUUGAUAAUUUUUA